Molecule: long non-coding RNA, 2119 nt
Filed under: Helianthus annuus (common sunflower)
Lineage: Eukaryota; Viridiplantae; Streptophyta; Magnoliopsida; Asterales; Asteraceae
Source: RNAcentral
UUUUUGUGAAUACCCACAAAUUGAUUUCUUCCAUAGCCUAUUUACCUUGGUCGCUCUUAUCUUCAUAUUCUUCGGAUACCAAAACCCUAGAAGGGGAAAAUUUCUAAUCUGCUGUUAAUAGAACCUCCAUCUUCGGUGUCAAGCAAGAUUUCAUCGAUAAAUGAAAGGAACUAAGCAGCUCGGUGUAUUAGAAUCUAGAACUUGCAUGCUAUAUGGGCAUAGAGCUUGGAAAGGUUGACAUAAAAUGUUUUGGUGAUGGAGAGAUAUAUGUCCAAUUGUGCGAGAGCGAUAAGAGGGUUUGAUAAUGAUAAAUUCCUGUCGCAAAGCAUCUGCUAAAACCAUUACUGCGGUUAGCCACCGUGGCAUUUUCAAGACCAGAUAAUUUGAAUAAUUGUAUUUGCAUAAACAUCAAACAACUGAAGCAACCGGAUGCAAACCUAAGCAGAGCACUACGUUUAGUCUUUUAAUUUUGACACAUGUUUCCAUAAUUCAACCGAAUUUACUGCAAACCUUAACCCAUUGUUUAAUUUUUUACUUCUAUCUUGAUAUAAUGACAAAUAAUGGCAGUUAGCUUGUGUUUGUUUAUUAUUGAACAUAAAUGUCUUCAUCGGAUCCAUCUUUCUUCAGAUUUACUAGACCUUACUUUAAGUUGACAUUUGCAUAUAGGAAGUAUAUGUUAAUGUAUUGGAAAAUGAGGAAAGCGAAUGACUAGCUACAACAUACUUAAAACAAAAAUAAAGAACGAAUAAUCUCUACAACAAAACUUAGCUUAACUGACACAUAGUACCAGAUUAUUUAUUACUGCUAAAAGUUGUGUAAUAGACUGUGUGGUUAUGGUUGUUAAACAUGCAACUUAUAUUUAUUCUCUUUCAUUGAUGGUUCAGACUCAAGGGCGAGAAUCUAUUGCAUGUAAACCGAAGCAGGAGCAGAUCGAGUUCUUGCUUGUGUUCUUCAUUUAGGGCAAUCGAUGUGCUAUUUUGACCUUCCAGUUGAUCAUGUUCAUGGUCAGUGGGUGUGAAAUGACAAAAAUACCCUUUCCUUUAAAAGGCCAAACCACAGGGACUAUCCGGGCAUCUUCUACAUUUUUAGAGAAAAAAAAACCCCACCACCACACUUUCCGGCGAACUUUUCCGGCGAAAUUACUUUCCGGCGACUUUAAAUCUUGAACGCGAGUUAUUCCGGCACCGCCGCCUUUCCGGUGAACUGACUUCGACCACAAAUACAAAAGUGUUGAUUUCUCGUUCCCUUCGUUACCAGAUGAAAACGAUGACAUGACUGAUCAACAUAAUUCUCAACUCAGGUUUCAGUUAAUAAGAGUGCAAGCAAGAGGCUAUGGGAAAAUUGCAAAUGGCUUGAAAUGUUCGAAGGUGUUCGUGUUGUCAUCUUCUGUGUUUCGUUGAGUGAUUUUGAUGAGUAUGCCAUUGAUGUAGAUGGGAAUUUAGUCAACAAAAUGUUGCUAAAUAAGAAGUUUUCCACAAGCAUUGUGACACACCCGACUUAUGAUCAAAUGGAGUUUCUUCUGGUACUAAACAAAUUCGAUGUGUUUGAGGAGAAACUCGAACGGGUUCCUUUAACUUGCUGUGAUUGGUUCAGCGACUUCCAGCCGAUAGUUAGCCGAAACAGCCAGAAUAAAAACAUUAGCAGCAACAACAUUAAUCAUAGCCCUUCAAUGGGACUAAUGGCUUCACAUUACGUCGCUGUGCAGUUCAAGAAGCUAUCGAUCACUGAGCGUAAGCUAUUUGUUUCAGUGGUUAAGGGAUUGGAACAAAACAGUGUGGAUCAAACACUCGAGUAUGCAAAGGAGGUACUUAUCUGGGAUGAAGAAAAACCUACCUUUAACUUCAAUGAAUACGCAAUUUAUAGCACGGAUACAGGUUCUAAUUCCGAAUGAUCAUCCUCGGAUUAAAAAGGAGUAAGACAACAUUGUACAGAAAGACGAGAACAACCAUGUGUUUUUUUCAUCAAUUUAGUUUGAUUUGUAGGCGAUUGGUUGGUUUAGUUGUAUUAUAUGAUUUCAAAACGAUUCGGAUUGAUUUAGAUAAUACCAAUGUAUGUAACCCGUAUUGUUUGUUUGUAUGACUAGCAAGUGAAAUCUUGAUCAACAAAUACUUUAAUAGUA